GUUGUUUUGUCUUAAUUUGAUUCCUGUAAGGAUAAGAUAAUUUUGCACGUGUUUUGGUUGGUUCUUUGGUUGUAAAGCUAGGAAUUCAGUAGAAGCAAGGGCAGUUUUUCUAAGACAGGAUAAAUAGUCAACUCUCAUAGCAUUAAACAACUGCACGGGCCGGGAGUGGGUUCAACUACAAUUAAUGCAUCCAAAAUGAAAUUUACAGCCUCGAACAAAAUACAUGUAUUGGACUUUCCAUGACUUGAACGCCUUUUAGGGCUCAGAAAAAUCAAAAGUGGGAGGCAAUAUGGUGUUUUAAUACCUUUCUUGACUCAUCCUAUAUAUUUAGUGGUCCUGUCUCCAUUGGUCUGAUUUGUUGUGUGAUCCACAAACUUAAGCUGUUAUCAUUUCAUAUGUGAAGAGUGCCAGAGUUGUUAUGGCUAAUGGGGGUGUAAAGAAAGCAGGUUCAAACACACCAAGGAUAGCGCAAGUUCCGCAUUUCAACUUCAGCCAUUUUAAGUGGACUCGAGCCACUCUUUGAACAACUGAUCAUCUGGAAACCAA
This 546-nucleotide long non-coding RNA is filed under the name Elaeis guineensis (African oil palm). Its description in RNAcentral is "long non-coding RNA (EGUI_LNC075635)". Lineage: Eukaryota; Viridiplantae; Streptophyta; Magnoliopsida; Arecales; Arecaceae. The record is from RNAcentral.